RNAcentral lists this ribosomal RNA (253 nucleotides) under uncultured bacterium. RNAcentral's name for it is "partial 16S ribosomal RNA". It matches the Rfam family "Bacterial small subunit ribosomal RNA", at positions 524 to 776 of the family's 1533-position model. The record is from RNAcentral.
GACAUAUGGGGCGAGCGUUACUCGGAUUUACUAGGCGUAAAGCGCGUGUAGGCGGAUGCCUAAGUCUGGUGUGAAAUCUCCCGGCUCAACUGGGAGGGGUCGCCGGAAACUAGGCAUCUAGAGUGAGGUAGGGGGUACGAGAAUUCCCGGUGUAGCGGUGAAAUGCGUAGAUAUCGGGAGGAAUACCAAUGGCGAAGGCACGUACCUGGGCCUCCACUGACGCUCAGACGCGAAAGCUAGGGUAGCAAACAGG